CUGCUCCAACAGACCAGUAACAUUUCAUGUUAGUUUAUAAGAGUGCCUUCCUUUCUUCCUUCAGAAAUGGCUAUGACCCAGAAGAAGCAACACAGCACCAUCAAUAUUAGGAAUGUGGUUCCUAACAUUAGGAACAAUCACACUGAGAAUUUACACCAGUGUGAGUGAAAUUGUAUAAGUUGCAGUGAUGAAUUGCUACUAAUUAAUGAGACCUGAACCUUCUCCCAAGUUGCAUCUUAUCGUGGACCACAAAAUGAUGAUCUUUACAACAUAAGCAAAUAGCUGCUCCAUCUGUUCCCGCAGUUCAUUUUCUGGCUUCUUUCCCCAACACCGUGUUACAGAUCAGACUGUUUGCUAAUUGGGUUUUGCAUGUUCUAUGUCUCCUAUGUCACUCACCUUCUUUGUGAAGCAGCCUCAUGAAUACUUUAGAAAUACAAAGAAAAGACGGAAGUUGUGAAUCCCAGUUUUGAGACUUCUGUAUUCUCCUAAUGGAAGACCAUCAAGGAAAAGGGAAGACAAGAUCCAUUAUUGUCCGGAGAAGAAGCAGGUGCCUCUCCCUAACAGAAAGAACAAUCAGAGGAAACAUGCACUUGCCUUCGGACUGCAGAAUUAAAGGCAUGCCCACAAUGGUCUCUUCCACAGGCCAAAAGAACAAAGACUACUGGAUACAGAUGCAGGAGAAAUUUAUAGUGGGGAGAGCUUCCUUGAGAAACCCUCAAAAGCCCCAAGAGCGUAUCCAGCAUGAAGCAGCAGCACCUUCUAUGAUGCUGAGAUUUGAAGAGGAUUAGCAACCCCACAUACACUUGUUCAUUGUAUUAAAAACCCAGAAAGAAAGUUUUCUAACCCAGGAGAGCAGUGUUUGCUUUAGGGCAGUGGUCCCCAACCUUGGGCCUCCAGAUGUUCUUGGCCUACAACUCCCAGAAGCCUUCAGCAACACCUCUGCUGGCCAGGAUUUCUGGGAGUUGAAGUCCAAGAACAUCUGGAGGCCCAAGGUUGGGGACCACUGCUUUAGGGUAAAGAAAAUCAAUUGGAAGUCCUCAUAAAGGAUGUUCAAGAUGGUGGCCAGACAACAGAGGUGUAGCAGAUUUUGGUGUCAGCAACCCACUGUGACCAGCAGAGAAGAAAAACAGUCUUCCAGUAAAUUAAUCAUAGUUGCUGGCUACAACCUAAUAAAGAACAGAUAGGUUGUUGUGGGUUUUCCGGG
RNAcentral lists this long non-coding RNA (1204 nucleotides) under Pogona vitticeps (central bearded dragon). RNAcentral's name for it is "lncRNA (ENSPVIG00000016521.1)". Lineage: Eukaryota; Metazoa; Chordata; Lepidosauria; Squamata; Agamidae. The record is from RNAcentral.